This 249-nucleotide ribosomal RNA is filed under the name Corydalis henrikii. Lineage: Eukaryota; Viridiplantae; Streptophyta; Magnoliopsida; Ranunculales; Papaveraceae. The record is from RNAcentral. RNAcentral also lists the same sequence under 1 other name.
CGCGCACCGAGUCGCACCCCACCCCUCUCGCUUAAUCGCUUAAUCGCUUAGCAGCGACAGGCGACGGGGAGCGGAGAAUGGCCCCCCGUGCCCCCGUGCGCGGCCGGCCCAAACACAGGCCCCGGGAGGCCGACGUCACGAUCCGUGGUGGUUGUAAAAGACACGCCCUUGAAAUCGGAUCCUGUGCACGUCGCGCCGCACCCAGGACCACAGCGACCCCCGAGGCCGUCCUUGGACGGCACCCACUCU